CCUACGGGAGGCUGCAGUGGGGAAUAUUGCACAAUGGGCGCAAGCCUGAUGCAGCCAUGCCGCGUGUGUGAAGAAGGCCUUCGGGUUGUAAAGCACUUUCAGCGGGGAGGAAGGCGUUAAGGUUAAUAACCUUGUCGAUUGACGUUACCCGCAGAAGAAGCACCGGCUAACUCCGUGCCAGCAGCCGCGGUAAUACGGAGGGUGCAAGCGUUAAUCGGAAUUACUGGGCGUAAAGCGCACGCAGGCGGUCUGUCAAGUCGGAUGUGAAAUCCCCGGGCUCAACCUGGGAACUGCAUUCGAAACUGGCAGGCUAGAGUCUUGUAGAGGGGGGUAGAAUUCCAGGUGUAGCGGUGAAAUGCGUAGAGAUCUGGAGGAAUACCGGUGGCGAAGGCGGCCCCCUGGACAAAGACUGACGCUCAGGUGCGAAAGCGUGGGGAGCAAACAGGAUUAGAUACCUAGUAGUC
RNAcentral lists this ribosomal RNA (464 nucleotides) under uncultured Klebsiella sp. RNAcentral's name for it is "bacterial SSU rRNA". It matches the Rfam family "Bacterial small subunit ribosomal RNA", at positions 338 to 795 of the family's 1533-position model. The record is from RNAcentral. Lineage: Bacteria; Pseudomonadati; Pseudomonadota; Gammaproteobacteria; Enterobacterales; Enterobacteriaceae.